Long non-coding RNA from Cervus elaphus (red deer), 1510 nucleotides. RefSeq lists it as uncharacterized. The transcript has 4 exons. The record is from RefSeq and is a predicted model, not a curated record. NCBI's taxonomy places the organism in Eukaryota, Metazoa, Chordata, Mammalia, Artiodactyla, Cervidae.
AGCUGGAGGGAGAGGGGCCUGAUGAGGCCCCCACUGGACCACGGGCUGCCCUGCGAUCUUGGCGGCAGCCCCAGAAUCUCUCUGGCUGCUCUUGGUGUCCCCAGCUACGGAACAAGGAGACCACUUCCCAUCACGAGACUUCCUGUGCCCGUCAAGCAAGAUAAGAAGUUCAGAAAUGCUUCGUAAUGAAACCAACAAGGAGCAUCUACAGCUACUGGCUGGGUUUGGGAACGGAGCCCCCGACUCCCACUGUCAUGACCUCGCUGGGCUGUCUUGCAUUUCCUCUCAGAGCUUGGGAGGGGGACGAAUACCCAGCCCGGCCCCUUCCCCUCCAGGUACAGUCGAUGCUCAAGCUGGCAUUUCAAUUGGAAAAUGCUGACUGGCUCGUAGUAGAUGCUCACACUGCUGAGCCGAACAGUCCAGAACCGAGCAGGGGUGCGUUGCUUUAACAUCCUCUGGUCUAAGAUGAAGAUCAUCACAUCCAGGCAAGCUUCCGGAAGGAGCUGUCUGGCGUGUCCUGAAUCCGUCCCUCACCUCCUGCUGAAGACUUCUCCAACAUGGUCCAGCCCCCAGCCUCCUCAGUGCUGGCACAGGGGACGCCUCAUCUGAGUUUGCGGGGCCUGGGCCUCCCUGCCCCUUCCUUUGGCGAAGGUCCCUUUCCUGACAUCACUUAACUGGCUUUCCUUCAUUUCCGAGAGCUGCUCUGGGUCACAGCCCCACUUCCCUAGCCUUCUUUCCCUGCCUGCACCUUGGGUGGGUCUUUCUCACCUGCCCUUUCUUCUGAGUUUUGACCCUGCCUGCCCAUGAGGUCUCGGCACUUGAGCUGGAGCCUGGAGGCAUCUGGUCUCCUUGCUCGUGGAGGUGCCCUCACCUGGCUCACGCACACCUCCUCUGUAGCCCCUCAGACCCUGCUCACCUGGAUGGGGGCACAGCCUUUCCUGCCCCCUCCGUUUCUACUCUGUUCUGGAGCAAGCUCUUUCCAAGAUGCCCCUUUGAGCAGCCCCGUUACAAGAGGAUGGUCCCUUCGGCCCUCAGGAGGCCCUGGGUCCCUGUCCUGCUCCAUAGCUCUGCAGAGCCAGUCAUGAGCCCCUAGCACUCCAGCUGCGACCCCCAGUUUACUCUGCGCCUGGAUGCAGACUGUCCUUCUCCAGGUCCUCAUUGACCUUGAACCUCUGUCUGAGUCUCACCUCCUUCGAGAAGCCUUCCUGGAUACCUCCUUGGGGUUGACUUCAUCUGUUCCAGGUUUGCAACUUCACUGCUUCUUCUUCUCCAGAAGGGCCAGGAUUUUCCCACAUCUUUAACUGCCCAUGCUCUAAACCAGGGCCCCACUGCAAGCAGAGAAGUGUUUUUACAGAUGAACAUUUGCAAUCAAUACAAUGAUAGGGAACAACUUUGAACCUCAAUUAAGCAAAAAGCUGUCCUCCCAAAAAAGAAUUUCUUUCUUUCAGUAGUAGACCUGUGCUACAAAAAUUCAUCAAUAAAAAGUGUAGGCAUUUGUUUUUUCUCGUUA